GCCUUCGUGGUGUAGUGGUUAGCAUGCUGGGCGCGUAUUCCAGAGGUCCGUGGUUCGAAUCCUGGCGAAGGCG
This is a non-coding RNA of Stegodyphus mimosarum, 73 nucleotides long. The record is from Rfam. Lineage: Eukaryota; Metazoa; Arthropoda; Arachnida; Araneae; Eresidae.